Molecule: long non-coding RNA, 177 nt
Organism: Physeter macrocephalus (sperm whale)
Lineage: Eukaryota; Metazoa; Chordata; Mammalia; Artiodactyla; Physeteridae
Exons: 3
Source: RefSeq, a predicted model, not a curated record
AUCGCAGCGCCCCUCGGGGCUUCUCCGGGCGCCCAGACGCUGGUUGGGGGAAGGAGAGCGGGGGCAACAAGAAGACGCUUUUCAGUCUCCCUUGGAGAGGACUGCUUGGCUAAGAGGGAGUCUGCGGUCGGUGCCUUCGUGGAUCCGACGCCGGGUGGCCUACGUACAUCUGUUUCC